Molecule: ribosomal RNA, 279 nt
Filed under: uncultured bacterium
Lineage: Bacteria
Description: partial 16S ribosomal RNA
Rfam family: Bacterial small subunit ribosomal RNA
Source: RNAcentral
UGCCAGCCGCCGCGGUAAUACGGAAGGUGCAAGCGUUAAUCGGAAUUACUGGGCGUAAAGCGCGCGUAGGCGGCUUUUUAAGUCAGAUGUGAAAGUCCACGGCUCAACCGUGGAAGUGCAUUUGAAACUGGGAGGCUUGAGUAUUGGAGGGGGUGGUGGAAUUCCCGGUGUAGAGGUGAAAUUCGUAGAUAUCGGGAGGAAUACCAGUGGCGAAGGCGGCUAACUGGACCGGAACUGACGCUGAUGCACGAAAGCGUGGGUAGCAAACAGGAUUAGAUA